Long non-coding RNA from Notolabrus celidotus (New Zealand spotty), 793 nucleotides. RefSeq lists it as uncharacterized. NCBI's taxonomy places the organism in Eukaryota, Metazoa, Chordata, Actinopteri, Labriformes, Labridae. The transcript is spliced from 3 exons. The record is from RefSeq and is a predicted model, not a curated record.
GCUCGUCAUCAUUGCAGCGUCCGGACGGACGUUACAAUAUUAUAAAUCAUUUUUAUCGACAGUGAUGAGCCAUUUGUUGAUUUAUGAAAAAACAAUGAAAUCUCUCAGCCUCCCUCGGCCCACCCCUCCCCUCCUGCUUGACCCAGGUUAUCAAAUGUUGCCAUUAGAGCUGACAGGAGUUGGAGAGAAGUGAGUGGAAAUGGAUAAAUAACAAAAGCGCAAGGGGGGUGCAGAAAAGCUGCAAGAUAAAAAGCUAAAAACAAGUGGACAGCAAAAUGUCCCAAACUUACUGCCAUGUUUGCCAUCGCCACCUCAAGCUGGACUGCGGCAGCAGGUGCAGCCCCUGUCCCCCAGGGGUGUUCCAGGGAUGUGCCUUUCAUUGGUGUGGACUUCACAGGCAUUCUUCAGUCGUAGCACCAAGGUCCAUGUAACCUUUUGUCUCAGCAUAUUGCCACUUAAAGUGCGACAAUACUUGGGCUAAUUAAGAAGUUACACUCUACUAGUUGCGUCUGUAACUUAAGUUACAAAUGUACUCGUUUUGAGGUGUGGUUUAGUUUGAACUUUGCACCUUACAUUAAAACACAACUCAUACAGAGCUGGUGAAACAGGCCACAGAUGUUUCCCUGUGAGGUUGGUGGACAACCAAAACAGUGUCAAAAUUUCCCCCAGUUUUGAUCAAUGAAGGUGAGAUUACUUUGAAUGUUUUAAUAACAUUAGUUUAACACAUACAGUCGGUACACACAUUAAAUAUGUCUUUCUAAUGUGAUGUUUCUAUCUUAGGCUUAAAUGUUGU